This 1333-nucleotide long non-coding RNA is filed under the name Helianthus annuus (common sunflower). Lineage: Eukaryota; Viridiplantae; Streptophyta; Magnoliopsida; Asterales; Asteraceae. The record is from RNAcentral.
CUACAGACACCAUCAAAUUUCUUUGUUCUCUCUCGCACAUGUCGCUCUUCUUUGCCGAUCUUGAUGCUUCAUUAUUGAUUAUUGCUGUUGAAGACAAGAUGAAGACGAGGAUAAUUAUUGAUUAAUCAAUACAGUUUACUCUCCAGACAAUGAAUCAGACAUUCAAGAUCAAGAUCUUGAAGAUCCCAUCGAAUUCUUAUGAUAAAUGGACAUUGUAGAGAGAGAUUGAUUGAUGCAUAAUUUAAAGAGAGAAAGGGUUCGAUAGAAGAGAGAUUGGGGUUGGCGCUGUAGGGGGGCUGCACCAGCGGCUUCGGUUGUCGAUGGUGGUGUCAUGCUCUGAAUUUUAUAGGCAAAGGAUUAAUGACUCUUGGGUUUCACACAGAAUGCAUGUCUGCCACUGCUGGUUCUUAUGGGUACAUUGCACUAGAUCGACCAAGAAGGUAUCUUUUAUGUUGCAGGAUAUGCAUACACACCAAAGGUAUUGCAAGAUAUUAAGAACAAGGGUUACAAAGGAAAAUGGCUUUAAAAGUAGAAAAUUGAAGAUUAUUUACGCUAAAAGAUAUAUUUUGGUGUGUGUUUGUUGGUGUUUGAACCAAUUGUUCCGAAUACCGAUGAGUUUCCAACGGCCUAUCUGACGAAAGGGCAGUAACAGGUUUAGCAUUUGUCUUUAAACCGUGAUGAUCAGCUUCAGGGCUGCCCACCACAGAGGCGGCUCUAUGAUGACCCUGUGGAAAACAACAAAUGGAGGCAUUGCCAGAUGUGCGAAAGGAUGAUCGAAUCAAUGUGUGCGGGCGUGAGUUAUGUUAUUCUUGUGGUGCUAAAUAUGUUGAUAGUAAACUAGCAUUCAGAUGUGUGUCAUCGAAUACUAACGCAGAGACGAAACUGGCGAUUUUUCUUUGACUCGGGGUUCCAGCCCUGCACUAGAGUCAUUGGAGUCAUCAACAUUCAACACCAACCACAUCUACUUCCACUUUAGUUGAUAUUCAGGUAUGCUUGAGAUAUGAAGAUUGUCCAAAGCCAGAUUCCGAUAUCUGAGCAGAUGGUGAUUUCCAGACUACGAUCCCAGCACAUUGAAAGGGGGAGUCUGAAGACAUCAAGAUAGAGAUUGAGUAAGGAUGCUUACAAUGGAGAAUAUUUCGAAGAGAAGCACAAAGACUGAUAAAGAUUGAAGGUUUGAAAACCUAAGACUCGACACUGAAGACUCCGUCAACAUCAGAGGGGUAGUUUGUUGGUGCAUCCGUCUGUCGACUUCGUCUUGUAUCGAGUCUUGUAUAGAAAUAGGUAGUUUAGGGCUCGGGAAUCAAGAUAGUGGUAAUUGUAGGUGAUUCCGCUU